GCUCCAAGAGCGUAUAUUAAUACUGCUGUAGUUAAACGCCCGUAGUAUACCUAAGAGUGGGUGUGUAGUAAUUAGUUUACCAGAGGACGGUUGGCGAGAGUUAUCACUCUUGUUUGCCUACUUUUGGUAGACUUUAGUCGGGCUGGAUCUUUGGUCCUCGUCUGACAGUUGCUACGUACUUACUUACCACGGUUCAUCCGUGAGGCCCUUGGCUUGCAACUGUAAAUAAAUCGUUGUGCUUAAAGCGGGCUAUGAUACUCUGCCAGAGCGAUUUAGCAUGGGACUGCAGAGUAGCUGUAUUUGAGCGAAGGUUGCACCUCGGUGUGGCUGGAGCUUGGUACAGCGCUUGUAAUGGAGCUCAGGGUGAGGCCCCGGGUACCAUGAGGCUAGAGGUGAAAUUCUGAGACCCUCAUGUGACCAACUAAGGCGAAAGCUGUCGUGGGCCACCACAAGCUCGUCUAUCAGGGACGAAAGUUGGGGGAUCGAAGACGAUUAGAUACCGUCGUAGUCCCAACUAUAAACGAUACCAACCGAGUAUUUGGGAAGACACUAUCCCAGCGAUCUUCUCAGAACUCAAGGGAAACCUUAAGUCUUUGGGUUCUGGGGGGAGUAUAGUCGCAAGACCGAAACUUAAAGGAAUUGACGGAAAGGCACCACCAGGAGUGGAGUCUGCGGCUUAAUUCGACUCAACACGGGGAAACUCACCAGGUCAGGACACAAGUUUGAUUGACAGGUUAAUAGCCCUUUCUUGAUUGUGUGGUGGGUAGUGCAUGGCCGUUUCCAGUUCGUGGAGUGAUCUGUCUUGUUAAUUCAGAUAACGAACGAGACCUAAGCCUUUAACUAGCCGUAGGCCUUUUCCUUCGGGGAAGGGUUAGUUUGUCGGAACAGGUUNNNNN
This 896-nucleotide non-coding RNA is filed under the name Naegleria gruberi. RNAcentral's name for it is "Eukaryotic small subunit ribosomal RNA". It matches the Rfam family "Eukaryotic small subunit ribosomal RNA", at positions 588 to 1401 of the family's 1831-position model. Lineage: Eukaryota; Heterolobosea; Eutetramitea; Acrasida; Naegleriidae. The record is from Rfam by way of RNAcentral.